This 265-nucleotide ribosomal RNA is filed under the name uncultured bacterium. RNAcentral's name for it is "partial 16S ribosomal RNA". It matches the Rfam family "Bacterial small subunit ribosomal RNA", at positions 89 to 354 of the family's 1533-position model. The record is from RNAcentral.
UACUUAGUGGCGGACGGGUGAGUAACGCGUGGAUAACCUGCCUUACACUGGGGGAUAACACUUAGAAAUAGGUGCUAAUACCGCAUAAGCGCACGAAGCCGCAUGGAUUUGUGUGAAAAACUCCGGUGGUGUAAGAUGGACCCGCGUCUGAUUAGCUUGUUGGCGGGGUAACGGCCCACCAAGGCGACGAUCAGUAGCCGGCCUGAGAGGGUGGACGGCCACAUUGGGACUGAGACACGGCCCAAACUCCUACGGAAGGCAGCAG